GGAGUCCCCCUGCUGGCACUUCUGGGCGCACCGCUGACACUUCCAGAUCCCGUGUGCAGGCGGGGGAACAACCCUGAACGUCGCUUAAUAGGACUCCUGGACUGGUUCUUGGCUGUUGCUGCUGCAACAGGAGGCUGAAAAACAAACCAGGCCAAAUUAAAAAGAUCAAGAUCUUCUCAACAAUCUCUAUUCAUUUGCAGCCACCAUGGCAACUGCUCAAGACAACUGUUUCCAGGCUCCCUGGGAUCCCUCCACUGUGAUGCUUCUUCUGGCUCCCCACCAUGGUUUCCAUCGAAUGACUGCGGACACGAAUCGCUCUCUG
Long non-coding RNA from Gavialis gangeticus (Gharial), 322 nucleotides. RefSeq lists it as uncharacterized. The record is from RefSeq and is a predicted model, not a curated record. NCBI's taxonomy places the organism in Eukaryota, Metazoa, Chordata, Crocodylia, Gavialidae. The transcript is spliced from 3 exons.